This 603-nucleotide long non-coding RNA is filed under the name Rattus norvegicus (Norway rat). RNAcentral's name for it is "long non-coding RNA NONRATT027384". Lineage: Eukaryota; Metazoa; Chordata; Mammalia; Rodentia; Muridae. The record is from RNAcentral.
CUUGUCUCCAAGUAUUGGAGCCUGACCUUCUGUGUCUGCUGCUCUUCUACUUGUCACCAUGAAGUUCCUGGCACUCCUGGUGUUGCUUGGUGUUUCCACUAUUCUAGUCUCUUGCCAGGACGCAGGGACAGACACUGCUGACACUUCUGAUACUGCUGAUGGAACCACUGACUCUGGAACUCAGGCAGACGCUACUGAUGGACAGCAAGAUGCUGAGUCCUCUGAUGGAACCAACGAUGGUACUGAGGGCACUAGUGAUGGCGGUGAUGGUGAUGCGCCUGCUGACCAGGAUCAGGAACAGACAGAUGAUGAGAACACUACUGCAGAUGAAUCCUCCGAUGAUGAUGAUGUCGAGGAAGAAGGGGAUGAUGAUGACGAGGAAGAAGAGAAAGAAGAGGACAAAAAGCCCAACCCAAUACUCGCAUUGAUUGAAUUGGCUAAGAAACUGAAAGAAAAAUAUAAGUUGGGAUAAGUUUUGAUCUUCCUGGACCAGAUUAAAACAUCCUUGAAUUGAUUUCCUGCAAUUAUUUACCCUGACUAUUCUCUCUCCCUCCUCUCUAACUUUUAUCUUCUAUGAAAUAAACGAUAGUCACAAGCAGCAUC